GAUGAAGAACGUAGCGAAAUGCGAUAAGUAGUGUGAAUUGCAGAAUUUAGUGAAUCAUCGAAUCUUUGAACGCACAUUGCGCCCUUUGGUAUUCCUUAGGGCAUGCCUGUUCGAGCGUCAUCUACACCCUCAAGCACAGCUUGGUGAUGGGCGCCUGUCCCGCCCCCCACGGGGGCGCGGACUCGCCUCAAAUGCAUUGGCGGCCGGCGACCUGGCUUCGAGCGCAGCAGAAACGCGUACUCGGGGACCGGGCGCCCGCUCCCAGAAGCCAACCCACCCAGUUUGACCUCGGAUCAGGUAGGGAUACCCGCUGAACUUAAGCAUAUCAAUAAGCGGAGG
Molecule: unclassified non-coding RNA, 339 nt
Filed under: soil metagenome
Description: partial contains 5.8S ribosomal RNA, internal transcribed spacer 2, and large subunit ribosomal RNA
Rfam family: 5.8S ribosomal RNA (bases 1-120)
Source: RNAcentral